ACCAGACUCCUACGGGAGGCAGCAGUGGGGAAUAUUGGACAAUGGGGGAAACCCUGAUCCAGCGACGCCGCGUGAGUGAAGAAGUAUUUCGGUACGUAAAGCUCUCUCAGCAGGAAAGAAAAUGACGGUACCUGACUAAGAAGCCCCGGCUAACUACGUGCCAGCAGCCGCGGUAAUACGUAGGGGGCAAGCGUUAUCCGGAUUUACUGGGUAUAAAGGGAGCGUAGACGGUUGCGCAAGUCUGGAGUGAAAGGCGGGGGCCCAACCCCCGGACUGCUCUGGAAACUGUGUAACUGGAGUGCAGGAGAGGUAAGUGGAAUUCCUAGUGUAGCGGUGAAAUGCGUAGAUAUUAGGAGGAACACCAGUGGCGAAGGCGGCUUACUGGACUGUAACUGACGUUGAGGCUCGAAAGCGUGGGGAGCAAACAGGAUUAGAUACCCCAGUA
RNAcentral lists this ribosomal RNA (445 nucleotides) under uncultured bacterium. RNAcentral describes it as "bacterial SSU rRNA". It matches the Rfam family "Bacterial small subunit ribosomal RNA", at positions 330 to 792 of the family's 1533-position model. The record is from RNAcentral.